RNAcentral lists this ribosomal RNA (468 nucleotides) under uncultured bacterium. RNAcentral's name for it is "partial 16S ribosomal RNA". It matches the Rfam family "Bacterial small subunit ribosomal RNA", at positions 28 to 507 of the family's 1533-position model. The record is from RNAcentral.
GACGAACGCUGGCGGCGUGCUUAACACAUGCAAGUCGAACGGAAAGGCCCUGCUUUUGUGGGGUGCUCGAGUGGCGAACGGGUGCGUAACACGUGAGUAACCUGCCCUUGACUUUGGGAUAACUUCAGGAAACUGGGGCUAAUACCGGAUAGGAGCUCCUGCUGCAUGGUGGGGGUUGGAAAGUUUCGGCGGUUGGGGAUGGACUCGCGGCUUAUCAGCUUGUUGGUGGGGUAGUGGCUUACCAAGGCUUUGACGGGUAGCCGGCCUGAGAGGGUGACCGGCCACAUUGGGACUGAGAUACGGCCCAGACGCCUACGGGAGGCAGCAGUGGGGAAUAUUGCACAAUGGGCGGAAGCCUGAUGCAGCAACGCCGCGUGCGGGAUGACGGCCUUCGGGUUGUAAACCGCUGUCGCCUGUGACGAAGCGGGAGUGACGGUAAUGGGUAAAGAAGCACCGGCUAACUACGUG